UACGUAGGGGGCAAGCGUUGUCCGGAAUCAUUGGGCGUAAAGAGCGUGUAGGCGGCCAGAAAAGUCCGCUGUGAAAACUCGAGGCUCAACUUCGAGCUGUCGGUGGAAACUUUCUGGCUAGAGUCCGGAAGAGGAGAAUGGAAUUCCUGGUGUAGCGGUGAAAUGCGCAGAUAUCGGGAGGAACACCAAUGGCGAAGGCAGCUCGCUGGGACGGUACUGACGCUGAGACGCGAAAGCGUGGGGAGCAAACAGG
Molecule: ribosomal RNA, 253 nt
Filed under: uncultured bacterium
Lineage: Bacteria
Description: partial 16S ribosomal RNA
Rfam family: Bacterial small subunit ribosomal RNA
Source: RNAcentral